AUGAUUAUAGGGGAUUUUAAUGAAAUCUUAUACUCGUCAGAGAAGGAUGGGGCCCCCCCACCAACAUCCCAAUUACAGGCGUUCCAAGAUGCCUUGUUUGAUUGCAUGCUAGAGGACAUUGGUUUCGUAGGUGACAAAUUCACAUGGUUCAGGGGCGGGCUACGAGAGAGACUAGAUCGAGCGGUCUCCAAUGCAGCUUGGCUGCUGCUACAUCCAUAUGCGGGGCUCAGUAACUUGGAGCUUGGUAAUUCAAAUCAUCGACCGUUGUUGAUGGAUACCGGGUACCUGACUGGGGUGGCGGAUAUAGUAACCCAAAGAAAGAUCGCAGGUUCGAAAUGA
This 339-nucleotide ribosomal RNA is filed under the name Triticum aestivum (bread wheat). RNAcentral's name for it is "partial small subunit ribosomal RNA". Lineage: Eukaryota; Viridiplantae; Streptophyta; Magnoliopsida; Poales; Poaceae. The record is from RNAcentral.